UCCAGAUUCAAGUUUGUCAUCAGCUGCUGUAGCAGGAAUAUGUGCUGUUGAUGCUGUUGGUGUCCUACUGCUGUUAGUGUCCUGCUGCUGGUGUCUUUAUCUGUGAUUUGUUACCAUCAUCAAGUGAGAAGGAAAGACACCAGGAUGCAGCACAGAGAUCAGGUGAAUGUUGGAUUUGAUUUGUCGAUUAAUCCGAGUGAGACUCCAAUAAUGUAAUCACACUGAUGCUCAAGUGGCGAACACUACCAGUGACUCUUCCCCAAAUCAGACUGAGAUCGAGCCUGAGGCUGCCAGUGAGAUCUAACAUUAUUUUGAUACUUUCACUGAAAUGGAAAGAGAAGAGAGGAUGGGAAUGAGAGAGAUUUUAUCAUUUUCAAUCUACUCUUGAUCGUAAGAUCUCUUGUUGCUCAGAAAUUGUCACCACACCAAGAUUUAAGGAGUCACUACCAAUUUAUCAAAUUUAAGUUAUAUAAACUUGAAUUCAAAAUGGAAAAUUAAAAGUUGAGUUCUACAUACUUUUUCUGUAUGUAGGAGAACCUCCACAUGCUGAGAUGUAUCAUAUAAUGAGUUGAUUAAUUACAAUUAAUUUCCCCCACAAUUUCAUCAUCACAGCAUAACUGACGCAUUGAAUAUGAUAAUGAAAGUUAAGACUAUUAGCUUACUACUCAUUGAAUUUUUUUAAAAAGGUCUUUUAAAACUGGUCUGUUAAUUAGGUUGGCUUGAGAAAGCCAACUUACUGAAAUCCUAUUUAAACUUCUAUCUAUCUAUCUAUCUAUCUAUCUAUCUAUCUAUCUAUCUAUCUAUCUAUCUAUCUAUCUAUCUAUCUAUCUAUCUAUCUAUCUAUCUAACAACUUGCUAAUAAUACUAAAAUCAUGCUAGCAACAUGCUAGGCGCAUGCUAGUCAUGCUAGAAACAUCCUAGCAACAUGCUAAUCAUGUUAGCAACAUGCUAGUCGCAUGCUAGAAACAUGUUAACCAUGCUAGAAACAUGCUUGUCGCAUGCUAAUCAUGUUAGAAACAUGUUAACAACAUGCUAGCAACAUGUUAAUCAUGCUAGAAACAUGUUAGCGAC
Carassius gibelio (silver crucian carp) is the source of this 1071-nucleotide long non-coding RNA. RefSeq lists it as uncharacterized. Lineage: Eukaryota; Metazoa; Chordata; Actinopteri; Cypriniformes; Cyprinidae. The transcript has 3 exons. The record is from RefSeq and is a predicted model, not a curated record.